Molecule: long non-coding RNA, 417 nt
Organism: Diorhabda carinulata
Lineage: Eukaryota; Metazoa; Arthropoda; Insecta; Coleoptera; Chrysomelidae
Exons: 2
Source: RefSeq, a predicted model, not a curated record
UUGCCAAACAAUACGAUUAAUUAUACAGAGUAUCAGAUUAUGGGUAAAGUCUCUAAAGUGCGCUAGGAACCAGGUUGUAUACCAAGGAAGUUCGAAUGCCAAGAAGAUAGAAGGAAACGGAUGUGCAGCUUUAAGGAACGACCAUAUAUGUUGAAAAAAACAAAGGAUGUCAAUAACCACACAGUGUUUGAAUGAAGCAGAACAAAAUAGUACCUUAAGUUCAUCUGUCCAGGAUACUUCUAAUACAAGUUCAGAUUUUAAAAUAGUUGGAGAGAAUGUACCUGAAACACCUGAAACUUUAUGUGAACUAACAGCGAAUAUAUCCAAAUAUUUACUAAAGAGGCAAACUUGAUUCCACUAAGCGUUCACGGAACCUCAGAAUACUACACUUUAAAGCGUAUGAAAUAGAAGACGAAG